This 428-nucleotide ribosomal RNA is filed under the name uncultured bacterium. Its description in RNAcentral is "bacterial SSU rRNA". It matches the Rfam family "Bacterial small subunit ribosomal RNA", at positions 354 to 796 of the family's 1533-position model. The record is from RNAcentral.
GUGGGGAAUAUUGGGCAAUGGGGGCAACCCUGACCCAGCAACGCCGCGUGAAGGAAGAAGGCUUUCGGGUUGUAAACUUCUUUUAGCAGGGACGAAGAAAGUGACGGUACCUGCAGAAUAAGCUCCGGCUAACUACGUGCCAGCAGCCGCGGUAAUACGUAGGGAGCAAGCGUUAUCCGGAUUUACUGGGUGUAAAGGGCGCGUAGGCGGGAGUACAAGUCAGGUGUGAAAUCUGAGGGCUUAACCCUCAAACUGCACUUGAAACUGUAUUUCUUGAGUGAUGGAGAGGCAAGUGGAAUUCCUAGUGUAGCGGUGAAAUGCGUAGAUAUUAGGAGGAACACCAGUGGCGAAGGCGACUUGCUGGACAUUAACUGACGCUGAGGCGCGAAAGCGUGGGGAGCAAACAGGAUUAGAAACCCUAGUAGUCC